Molecule: long non-coding RNA, 1703 nt
Organism: Alnus glutinosa
Lineage: Eukaryota; Viridiplantae; Streptophyta; Magnoliopsida; Fagales; Betulaceae
Exons: 4
Source: RefSeq, a predicted model, not a curated record
CGUCCCCUGCCUUUUUACAUCUUGCAGAAUGGCUUGAAGCCAUCGACACUUUGCAAAUGCCCCUUGCCACUUCAAAUUUUCCCCUACGUGUCUGAAAGCUAUCAAUACUUUCGGAAAACCUCGCCACGCUUCAUUCCAACGAAUUACACAUUGCGUUAAUGCAAGCCUCCUUCUCUUUCUAUUUAAACUACUCUUCUCGCUGCUUCAAAGCAUCAGUAGCGAAUCCAUUCACUAGAGACACUUGAGCUUCAGAAAAAUUCCGACUUAACAGAGAGACAAGAGGGAGAGGGAGAAAUCGAGAAAGUGUAGGGGAGGGAGGAGAUCCAACCGGUGGGCUAGCCACCAGACAAGGCGGACGACGACGCCAAGCUGGCAGGCCAUGGCCCCACGCCAGCGACGUCACUGGAUAGAGGAUUCCGGCGACUUCUGGGUUCCCAAAACAGAGAAAAAUCCACCUUAUUAUUCUCUUUUAGCAAGGUAAGGAUGAACUCCCGGCUUUUGAGCUCAUCGUCGACAGCUUGCACAUGAGUGGCGCCGUGUUCAUGGGGCAAGAGUGCCGGUGGGGGAUAGCCAUAUACAGCUUCAAAGGGGCUCAAUUUGGUAGAGGUGUGGACAGAAAUGUUGUAUGACCACUCGGCUAGAGGAAGCCAACGUAUCCAGUCCUUCGGCCUAUGUCCUGAAAAGCUUCUGAGGCGAAAAAUUUGAUCGAAGAAGUGAUGGAGAUCAAGGCACCGCUUUGAAGGAUCUCGUUCAAGUACCAAUUGGGCCGGUUACGAGAGCACGAGCAAAGAAGUUCAAGGAUGUGCUCAACGGACUCAUCCAAGAGUUAUGGGCUCAAGCAAAUUCAGGGAGGCCCAUUAAGCAUGAUCCACGUGGGCAACAAAGAAUUGUCACCUUGAUUCAAGUUCUAGAAGGAUCCGGUCAAGGCUAAGAAUUGCUGAGAUUGUUCGUUAAUUUAGAAGGAUCGGAUUGCAUGACUUAUUUUCUUUACCUACCUAAGAUCUUUAUUUAUUUUCUUUCCUUGCUAGGAAUUGAUUUGGACUUUAUUUUCUUUCCUUGCUAGGAAUUGAUUUGUUUACUUAUUAGGAUUAGAACUACUUUCUCCGCAAGUAAUUUUCUUGUAUAAAUAGGUGUACCUACCAUGUAAUCGAGGAGACAUUGAUGAUUCAUAAAACUUGUGAGGUUUUAUUCUCUUUGGUUCUUUGAAGAACUACUCGAACUUAUUGGGAUUUCCCGUGGCGUUCAUAUCGACUUAUCAAACGGACUUCCACCACCGUUUGUGGCGUCUUCCUUAUACCAAGGUUCUUGUUUAUCAUAAACAACGGGUCGAGGUCUUCCAUUCGAAUCUGUCCUUAGAAAUGGUCUUGGGUUCCCUUUCGUUGUUGGGUCUCGUUAUUCUUGAAGGGGUUCACAUCAUUUGUUAUCAGAGCUCAGUUUCUAGUUCAGGUUUGCAUAUCCCUUCACAUCACUAUUUUGAAAUUUUAUUUCAUUAUUCUUAAAAGCCAAUUGCUAAUCAUCAAAAAAAAAAAAAAAAUCGUGUCAAAAUUCAGAUUUGUGAUUUUUGCGAAUCUUUGCUUUAAUUUUUCAGAUUUGAAAUUUUCAGAUUUGAAUUCCAUUCUUAAUUGAUUACGCGAAUCUUUACUUUAAUUUUCAGAUCAAUAAUUUCAAGAUUUGGAUUUUCUUUCCAUAUCUGCAACUUCCAU